AAAAAGUUCACAUGAUUAUUGGCAUUUUAGAGCAUACUGGGCUCACUUCCCACCCCACUCCAAUUCAGCUCACAUGCCAUCUCCCCCAGCAAACCUUAACUCCUCACCCCAAUUCUGUAUUAGAUGCCUCCACUGUAUCCCAUGUGUUUCUAAGCUCCUGCUCAUACCUUUGGCAAAGGCCUCACCACAUUGCACUGCAAUUCUGUGUACUUAUUAUACUCAUUCACUAGAUUGUGAGCUCUUUAGAGCCCUCUCUGAACAUGUAUUUGAAUUCUGAGCAUGUAGCACAGUGUUCGCAGAGUGGAGGUGCCCAGCAAAUGUGUGUGAAGGAAGAAUAAAGGAAUGUCCAGUUCUUCUUUGUAUCACUCAUAGCCCUGUGCACAGUGCUUUGCACAGAGCAGGCACUCAAAAGAUACUUGCUGAAUAAAUGAAAGAAAAGAAAAGAAAAGAGAAAACAAAAAGUGUACUUAUUUACAGAGAGGCAAACAGUAAACAAAAUUGUAUGUUGAAUUUAUCAAAUAAAGUCUUAAUAUAAAUGGUGUAAAUGUAUCUUUAUAGGUAGAUAAGAAAGGAAGAUGACUCAUAUUUUAUAACAAGGGUAGAACUGUUAGAUUUCCUCAAGAGGUUGUCUGGCUCGUUUCUACCAUCCAGUCAACUCUUAAGCCUCCCAACUAGGUAAGUGUUCAUUCAUUUUAAACAUCUUCAAAGUCUGUAUUAUGUUCCUUGGUAGCCUUAGACAGGCUUAAUAAUAUUUUAUAAUCAAGAAGUUUCUUCCAAUGUAAGAUCAAGCUUCCCCUUACUACUUUAAACUAAUUUUCUUUUGUUCUUUCUUCUACAGGGAUGGAGAACUGGUCAGCAUUCUAUUUUUAUAUGUUAUUCUUAUUCUUAUAAGCAUUCUUAUGAUAAGUAUACUAUAAGACAGUUAUUAAGUCACCGCUUAGCUUUCUAUUUUCCUGGCUAAGCAACCAAACUCCUUUAAUCUUUUCCCAUAUGAUCUAUUUUACAUCCCAUAAAGAUUUGUCACUUUUUUUUACAGACCUUUCCCAAUUUCACACUUAACUUUAAAAUGUGGAAACUCGAAGUUGUCAAAAUAGUUUAAUAAAAGCUUAUACAAUGCCAAAUAUAACAAAUAAUUAUUUCCUAAUUCCCUAAAUCCCAGUAUCAUAUGAGUUUUACAGCAUGCUUUGCUAAUAGCCAACAACCUCUCACCCCAUCUCCAUCCCUGUUAGUCCUCAUGCGCUCCCUGAAUGGGUGGUGUUUGAAGAGGGCCUGGCACCCACACUUUCUCUAUGGACAAUGUUCAAAGGUGCCCUCAAUGCAUGCAACAUUCUCUGGGUCUGCCCUCACCAGCUCACUGAACUGGGGCUUCAGGAAAUGGAGCCUGUUCAGGGUAUACUCCAUUUUAAUUUUCUGUAGUCCUGGCCACAGAAGAGCUAAACGUGCCUUAUGCAGAGCAAAGCUAGCCUUUUCAGCCUUGUUUUAGAGCAAGCUUGUCCAACCUGUGGCCUGUGGACCACAUGCAGUCUAGGAUGGCUUUGAAUGUGACCUAUAUACAAAUUCAUAAGCUCUCUUAAUUAAACAUGAUUUUUUUUUGUAAUUUUUUUUUUUUUUUUUUUUUUGCUCAUCGGUUAUCAGUCAGGGUUAGUGUAUUUUAUGUGUGGCCCAAGACAAUUCUUCUUCUUCCAUUGUGGUCUGGGGAAGCCAAAAGAUUGGACACCCCAUUUUUAGAGUGUGCACCACUCUGCUAACUGUCAUACCUGCGCUCAGAAAAUCUUCCUCCCUCUGCUGACAGUAUAGUUUUUCUGUCUCUCUCAGGAUAUAACCUUGAAUUUGUUCCACAGUUUUGAAAUGUGAUUUAUAUAAUUUAUUAAGAUCAUUUUGAAUUCUAGAUCUAGCAUUCCAAGUGUUUGUAACUCCUGUUAGCUUAGUGUAAUCUCCAAACUUAAUCAGUAUGCCUUUAAUUCCGUCACCCAGGAAAUAAUGAAAAACGCAGAAUGGAAUCUAACACAGGCACCAGGACUGAAUCCUGAAUAUCUCCAAUCAACAGGCCCCUAUUGGCUUAUGGAGGAGGAGUGCAGAUCUGAAACUGGAUUCUGGGAUAGUAACUGAGCAACAUAUUCUAGGGAUGAAACUUUAGAAAGAGACUCUACCAAGGAAAAUCCAGUCUGUUCUUUAGAUGGCACACACAGAAGCAAUAACAAUAUUUUACAAAUGACAAUAGAUAUCUGAUGACUGCAAAAAUUUAAUACAUAUACUUGAUGGAAAAAUAAAUUUCAUAACAUCCUAUACUAAUGUAAUCCAUACACUGAAUAAAAACUCUAUCUUCAACUUUCUAUUAAGAUAGAUAUGCCAGAAUCUCAAGACAAUAAAAUCUCACUAGAGAGUAUCAUAUACCAGAACCUCAAACUGCUUUCAGCAUCUCCAC
This 2425-nucleotide long non-coding RNA is filed under the name Homo sapiens (human). RNAcentral describes it as "HSALNT0092613". Lineage: Eukaryota; Metazoa; Chordata; Mammalia; Primates; Hominidae. The record is from RNAcentral.